RNAcentral lists this non-coding RNA (32 nucleotides) under Mus musculus (house mouse). The record is from RNAcentral. Lineage: Eukaryota; Metazoa; Chordata; Mammalia; Rodentia; Muridae.
UGGCACCCANACCCUGUGCUUACUAAAGAACC